CAAAAGAAAUCUUGUAUUAAUCCACGAAAGAUAUAAAUGCAAGGGAGACGACUAGCACAAAAAGCUGGCUAGGCAAAAUACAAGAGAAAACAAUACCAAAAGUUUGGCAUCUCACACAGUAUUUUGGUUAACAAACAACAUGGUUCCCCGGCCAUCACAUGAGAAGAGAACCAGAAAGCACCUCUUUCAGUAGGUCAAGAAACAGAGAGAUUCACAAAACAAAACAAACGCACAAGUACUUAUUUAGGGUAGUUGGUGAUCAUGACCACAGACCACAGUGUUCAACUAGUAAAGGGCCUGAAGAUUAAAAGUGGUGAUGUUUUCCCUCUUCUUUUGCUUCUUUCUUCUCAUGGUGCUCAUGGAAGGCGUACCCGCCGGAUCCAACUGCAACAGCUGCUGCAAUUUCUUCCUCAAUCUUGUGCUUGUGCGCAUUCUCCGGGUCUUUCUUUGCCUUGUGCUUCUCAUGCUGAAUAUUUUUGUCACAAGAGAACCAAAAUAGUAAGAAAUAUAUGGGUGCUCACUAUUUUUAAGGGCAAUGCUUAGACAAGGAUGAAAGUGCAUAGAUCUAAACACAGAUGAGUCUGCAACCAUCCGAUUUACAUAGGAUCGAUCCAAAUGCUAGAUGUGGGGGCCCCAUAUAUAUAUAUAUAUAUAUAUUGCUAUGAAGAUUGGAGAGGGCAUAAAAAAACUGAGAAUAUGAUUUGGAUCAGACUUGAAUCUACACGGCUAAAUUACUUGCUGGUAUGUUUUGAACUAGUUUUUAAUGAAUAAAGGGUAAUAUUCAUAGAGCUACUAGAAUUUCCCUUUUUUGUUGAAUCUGACUAGUUUUUUUGUAUCUCGUGCCUUUGAGAAGCUUUUUUUUUUUUUUUUUUUUUUCCGGCAGAAGAAAGUUCUAUAAAAACUCGAUAAAGGGUAAUUUUAUAAAAACUUGAUAAAUACCAAGAUAAGGGUAA
Rhododendron vialii is the source of this 953-nucleotide long non-coding RNA. RefSeq lists it as uncharacterized. The record is from RefSeq and is a predicted model, not a curated record. The transcript has 2 exons. Lineage: Eukaryota; Viridiplantae; Streptophyta; Magnoliopsida; Ericales; Ericaceae.